UACGUAGGGUGCGAGCGUUGUCCGGAAUUAUUGGGCGUAAAGAGCUCGUAGGCGGUUUGUCACGUCUGCUGUGAAAUCCCGAGGCUCAACCUCGGGCCUGCAGUGGGUACGGGCAGACUGGAGUGCGGUAGGGGAGAAUGGAAUUCCUGGUGUAGCGGUGGAAUGCGCAGAUAUCAGGAGGAACACCGGUGGCGAAGGCGGUUCUCUGGGCAUUACCUGACGCUGAGGAGCGAAAGUGUGGGGAGCGAACAGG
RNAcentral lists this ribosomal RNA (253 nucleotides) under uncultured bacterium. Its description in RNAcentral is "partial 16S ribosomal RNA". It matches the Rfam family "Bacterial small subunit ribosomal RNA", at positions 524 to 776 of the family's 1533-position model. The record is from RNAcentral.